AACCAGCUCUUCAAGUGGUCGGGAUAAUUAUUGGGCUUAAAGUGUCCGUAGCUGGUAGGGUAAGUUCCUGGUAAAAUUGGGCAGCUUAACUGUCCUUAUGCUAGGAAUACUACUCUACUAGAGGGCGGGAGAAGUCUGAGGUACUACAGGGGUAGGGGUGAAAUCUUAUAAUCCUUGUAGGACCACCAGUGGCGAAAGCGUCAGACCGGAACGCGCCUGACAGUGAGGGACGAAAGCCAGGGGAGCGAACCGGAUAAGAUACCCGGGUAGUCCUGGCCGUAAACGAUGCGCACUAGGUGAUGGUGCGGCUAUGAGCCGCAUCAGUGUCGUAGGGAAACCGUUAAGUGUGCCGCCUGGGAAGUACGGUCGCAAGGCUUAAACUUAAAGGAAUUGGCGGGGAGCACCACAAGGGGUGAAGGCCUGCGGUUC
This 429-nucleotide ribosomal RNA is filed under the name uncultured archaeon. Its description in RNAcentral is "bacterial SSU rRNA". It matches the Rfam family "Archaeal small subunit ribosomal RNA", at positions 474 to 903 of the family's 1478-position model. The record is from RNAcentral.